This 293-nucleotide ribosomal RNA is filed under the name uncultured bacterium. Its description in RNAcentral is "partial 16S ribosomal RNA". It matches the Rfam family "Bacterial small subunit ribosomal RNA", at positions 773 to 1060 of the family's 1533-position model. The record is from RNAcentral.
GUGGAUUAGAUACCCGGGUAGUCCUAGCCGUAAACUCUGAGAACUUGAUUGAAGGGUCCUCCAUAGCCUUUCAGUCGUAGCGAAAGUGUUAAGUUCUCCGCCUGGGGAGUAUGGUCGCAAGGCUGAAACUCAAAGAAAUUGACGGGGGCUCACACAAGCGGUGGAGGAUGUGGCUUAAUUCGAGGCUACGCGAAGAACCUUAUCCUAGUCUUGACAUGCAUUUCUAAGUCGGUGAAAGCCGGCGACCGUAGCAAUACGGAACUUGCACAGGUGCUGCACGGCCGUCGUCAACU